RNAcentral lists this unclassified non-coding RNA (231 nucleotides) under plant metagenome. Its description in RNAcentral is "partial contains small subunit ribosomal RNA, internal transcribed spacer 1, and 5.8S ribosomal RNA". The record is from RNAcentral.
UCUCCGUUGGUGAACCAGCGGAGGGACCAUUACUGAGUUACCGCUCUACAACCCUUUGUGAACAUACCUAACUGUUGCUUCGGCGGGCAGAGGUCCCUCGCGGAUCUCUCCCGGCAACGCCCUCACGGGCGGAGCGCCCGCCGGAGGAUACCAAACUCUAUUUUAACGACGUUUCUUCUGAGUGGCACAAGCAAAUAAUUAAAACUUUUAACAACGGAUCUCUUGGUUCUG